This 609-nucleotide unclassified non-coding RNA is filed under the name Hevea brasiliensis (rubber tree). Lineage: Eukaryota; Viridiplantae; Streptophyta; Magnoliopsida; Malpighiales; Euphorbiaceae. The record is from RNAcentral.
CUCAAUCCUAGGCUAUAGAAUGGAUACGACAUGCGAGAUCCCUUCCAGACCUUUAUCUGAGCGCCUCUUCAAGGAAACUCCUUGGCCUUCUGUUGACGCCGUCACUUGCUCCGUCGACAAUGAUCACGUUUUCUAUCGUGAGAUGUGGUUUCGUCACUAAUACGCUUGUGUCUCGCCUACUCUUCCUGAUAUAUUCUCUAAUUUGUAGUUAAUUUCAGGUUUCCCAUGGGUUUCUGAAUCUCGUAUGAGUAGUAUUUAUGUGUUUGUUCGCCGGAGUAGGUGGUGUUGCACGGCUUAACCGAAUAUGCAGUUGCCGAACCAGUGGCUGUGGGACAUGGUGGAUUGACGUUGUGUACCAGUUUUAGAGUUUUUUCGGUAUAGAGCUAAGAUGAAGAACAAGACCGAGCAAGAGAUUGUGCUUUUAAGGCAACAUGAUCAGGACAUAACAAAUUGGUAUCAAAGCAUGAGUAUGAUCUUGAUGAGUUUGGUUGAAGGUGGAGCUACUGCGACAUGCGGAAAGUCGCACAUGCAGCAAUGGUGAUGGUGGAGAGAUGAAAUUAAGGUUGAGUCCUUGAUGCGAAAUCAAGAUGGUUGAUGGCGCAAAAAUCU